CAGCACUAAUGCACCGGAUCCCAUUAGAACUCCGUAGUUAAGCAUGCUUGGGCGAGAGUAGUACUAGGAUGGGUGACCUCUUGGGAAGUCCUCAUGUUGCACCCC
RNAcentral lists this ribosomal RNA (105 nucleotides) under Gossypium arboreum. Lineage: Eukaryota; Viridiplantae; Streptophyta; Magnoliopsida; Malvales; Malvaceae. The record is from RNAcentral.